RNAcentral lists this unclassified non-coding RNA (285 nucleotides) under fungal sp. RNAcentral describes it as "partial internal transcribed spacer region". The stretch from base 1 to 46 matches the Rfam family "Eukaryotic small subunit ribosomal RNA", at positions 1786 to 1831 of the family's 1831-position model. The record is from RNAcentral. Lineage: Eukaryota; Fungi.
AAGUCGUAACAAGGUUUCCGUAGGUGAACCUGCGGAAGGAUCAUUACAGAUAGAUUCGGAGGUGGCUUUCUCCAUGCCGGAGGGGGCUCCUUCAAACUCUACCUUCAAUCCCCCCCUCAUUAACAAUGUGAACCUUGACACAAGUCUGUCGACGCAAGUGCCCCUAUCUUUGGAAUAGGGGCACUAGACGCUUGUGCUCAUUUUUCUCUCACGCCUGUCAUACGAAUGUUGUUGGUACAUGAUACAUAUGAAAUAUAACUUUCAGCAACGGAUCUCUUGGCUCUC